GCGCCAAGGAAAAUAAAAAGUUUACUAAAAAGGUAUUUCAAUAUAACCUCUCUCACUCUUAAUUCUCCACAAAUUAAAUUAGAACUCCUCCAUCUCUCUAGAAUCCCGAAUAAACCCUAUCUUCUACAAUUUCCAUUAUCCCUCCCCUGCACGGCGUUUCCUCAAAUCGUUGUAGCCGAUGGUUCUCUUCUCUCCUUUUUACGGCGAUUCGGAACACUUUGACAUCAAGAUGGCAAAAUUUUCUCCGUGGCGAAGCUUCUGUAUGCGAUGAAGAAUCUGGUGCCAGCAUUGAUUUCAUCUCCCAACUUCAAACGAAAUUUAGUCUAAAUAAUAGGAGUCUAGAGAAGGAUAACUAUUGGGGAGAAUGGCUCAAUCAGAGAGGAUUUGAGGAGAAAAUGACAGAAAAACUCAACUCCGACAGGAAUCGUUGACUAGCUUGAACUUGGUGACCAUCAAACUUUUUCAGUUUUACAAGUCAGAACGUAGGUUUUGAAGACUUAAAACGAGUUGACGAGUUCGUUAUCAUUUUGCAAAAACUGCUAGGCAAUGUUUUGUAUUUUGUUGCUAUGGAAUUUUUCUCCUUUUUCUUUGAUGUUGUGUAAACAGUAUAUAGUGACUUGUAUCAUAGUCUUAUACUGACAAUAAUGAGAUGUUUAUACAUAUUAUGAAAUAAAUUAUAUGUAUAAAACAAUGAUAAUGAUGAAUAUUUUGUUGAAAUUUAAUUGAUACCUCUACUCUUAUUGAAGUGAAAUGGGAUUGAAAAACAUCAUAUGCUUAUUUAAUAGGCACAA
Molecule: long non-coding RNA, 791 nt
Organism: Solanum dulcamara
Lineage: Eukaryota; Viridiplantae; Streptophyta; Magnoliopsida; Solanales; Solanaceae
Exons: 3
Source: RefSeq, a predicted model, not a curated record